Long non-coding RNA from Gallus gallus (chicken), 1174 nucleotides. RefSeq lists it as uncharacterized. The transcript has 2 exons. The record is from RefSeq and is a predicted model, not a curated record. NCBI's taxonomy places the organism in Eukaryota, Metazoa, Chordata, Aves, Galliformes, Phasianidae.
GGAAGGUCAGCAUUUGGCUGACUUUGUUGUGCUGCUAGAUGAUGAUUCAUUUAUUCCUUGGUUGUACAAAAAGGUUUGUAGGUUCUCCCAGAAGAAAAUGAGCAAAUAGACUGCUAAGGUGUAAAUCUGAGCUGUGCUGCUGCCUCAGAGGCUCUUGUAGAGGACACUUUGCACAGCACAGGAAAGUUACUGCCUUAGCAAAAAUACAGCAACUGGGGGUGUUACAUGCUGCUAGAACUAUGAAGAGACUGAGAAGAAUGACUCAGAAAAGUUAUAUUGAGUACUCUUCCGGGAACUUUAAAUGAAUCUAUUUGUUAUGCAUUUACACCUGGCAAAGAGUUUCACUCACUAUCAUGUCACAGGUGAGGAGCAGCAGCCUCCAGAUAAAGGGCAUUCACUUCAGGACACACAUAAUCCUGAUUUCUCAGGACUGCAAAGCUGAUCACAUUGCUGAGAUUCAGUGCGAAGUCAGCCCUGGAACAGCAAUGACCAAGAUGUCUUUAACCAGAGCACAUGGGUUAGAGAUAUGCUCUGCUUGUUUCAAGGAAGCUCUUCAACAGCCAUCCAGCUGCUUGUACAUCUUACCUAUGCUAUGGUGGAUCAUGGUUUCAUGGAAACACCACCUUGUCCAGAAGUUAAUCAUGCUCUGAAUUGUACAUCAGAAGAUAAAGUAUGGCAUUUCAAGACUGGUGAUGAGUGGCAGGUAUCAAAAUGGAAACGAGCUCUUUUUAAACGGGAAUGAAAAUGGCAUGACCUGAAAACUGACAGUCCUUUGCCAUCCCAGUGGUAACAGCAAGACCAGGACCUAUUUUUCCACUGGGAUUUGGUGUCAUCUCUUCUGUUGUGGUGACCACUUAGGAAUAGAAAUAGAAAGAAAGUAGCAUGCUGGUAAUCCCGUCAGCCAGCUGGCAAUACUGCUGAACCAUAGCUGGGCUAAGCCAACUGGAAAACUCCAUCUGGAAGCUGGAAUAUACACAAAUACUACUUGAUACACUUGCCUCCCCCUGCAUGCAGUUUGCGAUGAAAAUCUGACCCCCUUUGAUCCCCAUACCCAUGCGCGGCAACCCUUUUCACUGAGGUAGACAUUUGAGCUCAUGGGCUUUGGACAACAUGCUGGCAGAGCAGGUGCCUCCUGUUUGGAUUAUCAGAAGUGAUAUUUCCAGUACCACCCAAA